GAUGGAGCAACGCCGCGUGAGUGAAGAAGGGUUUCGGCUCGUAAAGCUCUGUUGGUAGUGAAGAAAGAUAGAGGCAGUAACUGGCCUUUAUUUGACGGUAAUUACUUAGAAAGUCACGGCUAACUACGUGCCAGCAGCCGCGGUAAUACGUAGGUGGCAAGCGUUGUCCGGAUUUAUUGGGCGUAAAGCGAGUGCAGGCGGUUCAAUAAGUCUGAUGUGAAAGCCUUCGGCUCAACCGGAGAAUUGCAUCAGAAACUGUUGAACUUGAGUGCAGAAGAGGAGAGUGGAACUCCAUGUGUAGCGGUGGAAUGCGUAGAUAUAUGGAAGAACACCAGUGGCGAAGGCGGCUCUCUGGUCUGCAACUGACGCUGAGGCUCGAAAGCAUGGGUAGCGAACAGGAUUAGAUACCCUGGUAGUCCAUGCCGUAAACGAUGAGUGCUAAGUGUUGGGAGGUUUCCGCCUCUCAGUGCUGCAGCUAACGCAUUAAGCACUCCGCCUGGGGAGUACGACCGCAAGGUUGAAACUCAAAGGAAUUGACGGGGGCCCGCACAAGCGGUGG
This 559-nucleotide ribosomal RNA is filed under the name Lactobacillus gasseri. Its description in RNAcentral is "bacterial SSU rRNA". It matches the Rfam family "Bacterial small subunit ribosomal RNA", at positions 385 to 935 of the family's 1533-position model. The record is from RNAcentral. Lineage: Bacteria; Bacillati; Bacillota; Bacilli; Lactobacillales; Lactobacillaceae.